UGCCCCCCCCAAGCCAGGAAUGCCAGCAGCAUCCUACCCAGUGCAGUACCCAUCACCUUACCCGGCCCAGCCCAUGGGCCCGCCGGCCUACUUCGAGACCCUGGCUGGAGGAGCAGCCACGCCCUACCCCACCAGCCAGCCUCCUUCCAACCCAGACUACAUGGAUGCCCCGAAGGCGGCCCCCUGAGCAUGCCCUGGCCUCUCUGGCUGCCACUUGGUCAUGUCAUGUGUGUGUGAGUGGUGUGCAGGCACGGUUCCUUAUGCCCCGUGUGUGCUAUGUGUGUCCUGUCUGUAUACGUGGCUUCCUCUGAUGCCGACUAGGUGGGGAGUGAUCCUUGCCAGCAGAGUGGGUUGGGACCAGACUUUGUUAUCUUCCUCACCUGAAAUUAUGCUUCCUAAAAUCUCAAGCCAAACUCGAAGAAUGGGGUGGUGGGGGCACCCUGGGAGGUGGCCCCUGAGAGGUGGAGGGCUCUCCAGGGCACAUCUGGAGUUCUUUUCCAGCUUCCCCUAG
RNAcentral lists this long non-coding RNA (511 nucleotides) under Homo sapiens (human). RNAcentral describes it as "non-protein coding lnc-CASK-5:1". The record is from RNAcentral. Lineage: Eukaryota; Metazoa; Chordata; Mammalia; Primates; Hominidae.